This 72-nucleotide transfer RNA is filed under the name Salix viminalis (osier). Lineage: Eukaryota; Viridiplantae; Streptophyta; Magnoliopsida; Malpighiales; Salicaceae. The record is from RNAcentral.
GCACCUGUAACUCAGUGGAUAAAGCAUAUGUUUCUUAAGCAGUGGUCAUUGGUUCGACCCCUGUCUAGCGCA